Molecule: ribosomal RNA, 484 nt
Filed under: uncultured bacterium
Lineage: Bacteria
Description: partial 16S ribosomal RNA
Rfam family: Bacterial small subunit ribosomal RNA
Source: RNAcentral
AUUGAACGCUGGCGGCAGGCCUAACACAUGCAAGUCGAGCGGAUGAAGGGAGCUUGCUCCUGGAUUCAGCGGCAGACGGGUGAGUAAUGCCUAGGAAUCUGCCUGGUAGUGGGGGAUAACGUCCGGAAACGGGCGCUAAUACCGCAUACGUCCUGAGGGAGAAAGUGGGGGAUCUUCGGACCUCACGCUAUCAGAUGAGCCUAGGUCGGAUUAGCUAGUUGGUGGGGUAAAGGCCUACCAAGGCGACGAUCCGUAACUGGUCUGAGAGGAUGGUCAGUCACACUGGAACUGAGACACGGUCCAGACUCCUACGGGAGGCAGCAGUGGGGAAUAUUGGACAAUGGGCGAAAGCCUGAUCCAGCCAUGCCGCGUGUGUGAAGAAGGUCUUCGGAUUGUAAAGCACUUUAAGUUGGGAGGAAGGGCAGUAAGUUAAUACCUUGCUGUUUUGACGUUACCAACAGAAUAAGCACCGGCUAACUUCGUG